UAUGAAUAUCAAAUGGAUGUUUCGUGCGUAUAAAUGAGAGAAGUUUUCGGGUUUUGCUUCUCGGUCGCAAAUUUCAAACAAUCAAAAUAAAUAUUUAAACAUAAUCGGACCCACAAUUAGCCAGAGACCUUAAAAAUGCCCCCCGCACCCCCUUCAUUGCCUAUCUCUUUUGGCCAGUUUGUGGUAAAAAUAAAUUAGUUCCCGGUGCCCCCGCGCUGCCACGUUUCGCCACUGCUGCAAUUGGCCUUCAUUUGCGAAUGAGCAAAUAAGUGAGUUAACUGUAAUUUCGGGCUAGUAAUCAUUAAUAAUUUACGGCCAAUAGGCCCACCAGCCCAGUCCCACACAGCCAACUGCCAGCCCAAGAGGCAGCUGAAGCUCGAGUGGGCGACUGGAGGCUGGAGACUGGAGGCUGCGGCUGUUGCCAACCACUUGACGUUCCGUAAAGCAAAUUUUAAAUAGCACAAAUACUUGAGCUCUUCGUUGUUCGUUCCGAGUUCUGAGUUGUUGGCUCUGCGUUGUUCCUUGCUCGUGUUGUGCCAGUUUUUUGUUUGACCGACAACAAUUGACUGUGGCCCACUGGCUGGCGCUCGUUUUAAACCCGUUGAGCCACCUGCCAGAACACAGGGGCAGCCUGUUGGGUUGAGCUUGCAAAUGAAAAGUAAAUAAUUCAACGCAAAAAAGUUUAAGGGUUCUGUAUGUUCCCUGUUGAUCUUUCAAUUUGCGCAAAGAAAUCGUCUGAAAUCGUGGCAGCAAUCAGCAAAAGUGGGCGGGAAAAGUGGCAAUAAAUCAAGCUUAAAUUGGGUGGAAAAGUGAAAUUGAAUCAAAUUAAAAUUGUGCGAAAAAAGGAAUUAAAUGAAGCUCAAAUUGAGUGAAAAGUAUAAUUAAAUUCAACCAAAAUUUGAUGAAAACUAUAAAUAUAAUAAACUAAUACUGGCCGAAAAGUGGAAUUAAAUCAAGGUAAAAUGGCUAAAAAGUGAAACCAAAUUGAACUAAAAUUUAUACAAUACAUACAAUUUGGUAAAAAGCGACAAAUAAGCUAAAAUUCGACAAGAAAAUAAAAUAAAAUCAAGCUUAAAUUGGCAAAAAAAGUGAAAUUAAAUCAAGCUAAUAUCGAGAGAAAAUAAAUCAGUAUAAAAAACGGAAAUUAAAUCAAGCUAAAAUUGUGUGCAGCUUUUCAAGUUUUUUUGAACAUAAUCUGCAGUCAGUUUUGCUUCAAAAUGAAUGAGUAAAUGCAUCAACUGCAACAAUCUCUACUGCCUAUUUGUUGUUUAUUUAGCAUACUAAUAGCCCGUGUGGUAUUGCCUAAUAUAAUCAGCAGACUUGCGGUGCUCCACUUUUGCUGUGACAUUGUUUUCCCUGCGUGCCAGUUCAUACGUUUUCACAGUAUUUUUCUGCCUGUGGCAUUACUCACAUUCACGUUCAUUUUGCAGGCGUACGUGCUAAUGCCGGCAUAUUGAUAGAAAUCCUGUAAAUAUCCUGUCAACACCCCCACCAACGAACGAAGGAAAGAAACGAAGGAGCAGACAAGCAGCACCACAGCACCUCGGUGUGUGUCGAACGCUAAUAGCGACAGCUGCACGUCGCCAGUGAUAACAGGACACAGGAGACAACGUUAAAGUAUCCACUUUGAGAUUUACUUUUAAAGAUUCCCGCACCGACAACUCCAACUUCACUUCACUUCCGGGUGGGCCAUUCUGCGGCUUAAGAAUAUAAAAUUAUGACAGCUUGUGGCAUUCAUCUCGGAACUGUAGAGAUUCUCAGGUUCGUAGGGUUCCUGCUGCCGAAAUUCUCUGUGUUCUAUUCUGGUCAUAAACUUUUCAGUGCCUUCAAUCAAGAUGAAUUUGUGCCAGUAAGUCCCUCCAGAUAAUGUUAACAUUUGCGGCAUAAGGUCAAAGGACAUAUGCAUCGGCACCAGCAAUAAAAUGCC
RNAcentral lists this long non-coding RNA (1927 nucleotides) under Drosophila guanche. Lineage: Eukaryota; Metazoa; Arthropoda; Insecta; Diptera; Drosophilidae. The record is from RNAcentral.